This 285-nucleotide ribosomal RNA is filed under the name uncultured Pseudomonas sp. RNAcentral describes it as "partial 16S ribosomal RNA". It matches the Rfam family "Bacterial small subunit ribosomal RNA", at positions 125 to 412 of the family's 1533-position model. Lineage: Bacteria; Pseudomonadati; Pseudomonadota; Gammaproteobacteria; Pseudomonadales; Pseudomonadaceae. The record is from RNAcentral.
UCUGCCUGGUAGUGGGGGACAACGUCUCGAAAGGGACGCUAAUACCGCAUACGUCCUACGGGAGAAAGCAGGGGACCUUCGGGCCUUGCGCUAUCAGAUGAGCCUAGGUCGGAUUAGCUAGUUGGUGAGGUAAUGGCUCACCAAGGCGACGAUCCGUAACUGGUCUGAGAGGAUGAUCAGUCACACUGGAACUGAGACACGGUCCAGACUCCUACGGGAGGCAGCAGUGGGGAAUAUUGGACAAUGGGCGAAAGCCUGAUCCAGCCAUGCCGCGUGUGUGAAGAA